UACGUAGGGGGCAAGCGUUAUCCGGAUUUACUGGGUGUAAAGGGAGCGUAGACGGCAGCGCAAGUCUGGAGUGAAAUGCCGGGGCCCAACCCCGGAACUGCUUUGGAAACUGUGCAGCUGGAGUGCAGGAGAGGUAAGCGGAAUUCCUAGUGUAGCGGUGAAAUGCGUAGAUAUUAGGAGGAACACCAGUGGCGAAGGCGGCUUACUGGACUGUAACUGACGUUGAGGCUCGAAAGCGUGGGGAGCAA
RNAcentral lists this ribosomal RNA (248 nucleotides) under uncultured Lachnospiraceae bacterium. Its description in RNAcentral is "partial 16S ribosomal RNA". It matches the Rfam family "Bacterial small subunit ribosomal RNA", at positions 524 to 771 of the family's 1533-position model. Lineage: Bacteria; Bacillati; Bacillota; Clostridia; Lachnospirales; Lachnospiraceae. The record is from RNAcentral.